AUUGUGUGUUUUCAAAAGACAUUCCAGAAUCUUCGGGGUGGGAUGGGGUUGAUUUGGGGCUUUUUUGUUUUGUUUUGUUUUGUUUUGUUUUGUUUCUUCCUUUUGUUCAUGUAUGAAAGUCAGAAGUAACUUUUGGUUUUGUUCUGUUGGUUCAGUUUUGUUUCAUGGAUUGCCAAGCUCAGCUCUGCUGACGAGAGACAAACUCGAGGGGUGGGGUGGGACGGGGGGGACGCGGCAGGGGGAGAGCCUGGAGCUGGGACAGGACGGAGCGUGGACAGUCGGACAGUGGGAACCUGGCUGUGGCCACUAACGGCCACCGAUGGCCACCAACAGGCACCAAGCCUGGAGAGCUGGACAGCAGGAACCUGGCUGUGGCCACCAACGGCCACCAACGGCCACCAAUGGCCACCAAUGUCCACCAAUGUCCACCAAUGGGCACCGAGCCUCCUGGAGAGCAGGAACCUUGCUGUGGCCACCAACGGCCACCAAUGGCCACCAACGGCCACCAAUGGCCACCAACAGGCAUUGAGACUGAGAGCCGGACAGCAGGAACCUGUCUGUGGCCACCAAUGGCCACCAAUGGUCACUGAGCCUCCUGGAUAGCAGGAACCUGGCUGUGGCCACCAAGCCUGGAGAGCUGGACAGUGAGAACCUGGCUGUGGCCACCAAUGGCCACCAAUGGCCACCAACGAGCAUCAAGACUGGAGAGACAGACAGCGAGAACCUGGCUGUGGCCACCUGUGGCCACCGGAGAGUGGCCGAGUGGAUCCUCAGCUGCUGCUGACUUUGAGGGACCAAAAAUUGCCCAACGCCUCGUCCAGAGCAACAGUGACCAAGGGACAUGGCCAGAGGUGGACACAGCCAGAAGUGGACACAGCCAGAGGUGGACACAGCAGAGGUGGACACAGCAGUGGUGGACACAGCCAGAAGUGGACACAGCCAGAGGUGGACACAGCCAGAGGUGGACACAUCAGACAUGGACAUGUCAGAGGUGGACACAGCCAGAGAUGGACACAGAUGGACACACCCACAACUGGCCACACCCAGGGACGCUCUCCCAGCUCCACCGCUCUCCCCGGCCUGCCGCUGACCCCUGCCACCCCUGGGGGACAUUCAUGACCUCGAGGGGCUUCCUUUGGCCCCCCAUCCCCAUCCCACCCCAGCACGGCCGGCCUCGGCCUCGCCGCCGCAGCAGAUCGGCUCCUUUGUGUAUUUAACGCUUCUAACCCGCCCUCCCCGGCACCCCGCGGGUCCCCCCUAGCUCCGUAGGGCACUCCCCGUCCCCCGAUUCCUGCGGGAUUGUCGCUUCUGUGUUUGCCUCAUCGCCAUCUGCUCCGGGCCGCGGGCGCGUGUGCGUGCGCCGGGUGUGUAAAUACGGAACCGCGCCAUAAUUUAUUCAGCUGUAUGGAGUAGAUUUAGUAGGAAAGAGAAACUGGUUUUGCUUUAACUACCUGCUGCCUGUAGGUGUCUUUCUGUAACUCAGGCAUAACUGUUAUACAUUAAAAGGAAAAAAAAGGAAAAAAAAAAA
This 1528-nucleotide long non-coding RNA is filed under the name Parus major (Great Tit). Its description in RNAcentral is "lncRNA (ENSPMJG00000000042.1)". The record is from RNAcentral. Lineage: Eukaryota; Metazoa; Chordata; Aves; Passeriformes; Paridae.